ACUCCGCACGUGAGCCUUGUGCUUCGCGCUGGGAAGAGGGGGGAGGGGCGGUAGUUACACUCGCACUAGCUAGAGAACAGAGCGGGAGGGAGAGACAGAGAAAGAGAACCAGGGACAACAACGUCACAUUAGAAAGGUAUAGUAUAGUUAUUAUGCCAAAAUCAGGAACGCGUUACUCGUUACUGGGAUUUAGAUAGGCUCGUUAUUUGUUACUUUGUGUGGUGGCUAUCGCGUAGCUUCCACAGAUUCAGUAACAUUAGCAAGUGGUGGAGGCCAGCAGGUGGAUGAGAGAAAGGGGAGGCAAGAGGAGAGACCCGAAGCGGCCGCCCG
This is a long non-coding RNA of Oreochromis aureus, 330 nucleotides long. The record is from Ensembl. Lineage: Eukaryota; Metazoa; Chordata; Actinopteri; Cichliformes; Cichlidae.